GAUAGCAGCCAAUCUCCUACUUACCCAUGGACUAUUUAAUGGUGGAUUUUACUGACAUGCCCAAAUGCCAUGGUUAUAAAGCAUUGCUCAUUUUCAUUGACACUUACUCUGGAUGGAUAGAGGCCUUCCCCACUCGAAAUAAAUUAGCUAUACAAGUAGCACGCUUUCUUUUAAAGGAAAUAAUCCCUAGAUUUGGAUGUCCAUCUACCAUCAGCUCUGACAAUGGCCCAGAAUUUGUGCAACGUAUAAAUCGCCACUUGGCUGAAGCUGCAGGCCUGAAAUGGAGUUAAGACCCUGGAAGGACGGUCCUGGAUCCACUGGACGAGACUGAAGCCCGCAGACCAAAGUGAUCCAGCCACAUACCAGGUGACAACAACUGACCGGCCCUUGGUGUUGAGGUUCAAGAAGACAUCCUGCUGAGCCCUACCGGUAACGGGCACUCAACGCGCGGUGGUGAUCGUCAAGCUUUGCUGAACCACCCCGGAAGCUGGUUCUCUACGCACAGCCGAAGCUUGGAACGGAGAAAGACAACAUUCCACAAUUGUAAAUUUUAAUGUAACACCCAUUAACAGUGA
Pantherophis guttatus is the source of this 575-nucleotide non-coding RNA. The record is from RefSeq and is a predicted model, not a curated record. NCBI's taxonomy places the organism in Eukaryota, Metazoa, Chordata, Lepidosauria, Squamata, Colubridae.